CAGUCGCCGCGGGAAUACGGAGGGUGCAAGCGUUAUCCGGAUUUAUUGGGUUUAAAGGGUCCGUAGGCGGACUUAUAAGUCAGUGGUGAAAGCCUGUCGCUUAACGAUAGAACUGCCAUUGAUACUGUAAGUCUUGAGUAUAUUUGAGGUAGCUGGAAUAAGUAGUGUAGCGGUGAAAUGCAUAGAUAUUACUUAGAACAUCAAUUGCGAAGGCAGGUUACCAAGAUAUAACUGACGCUGAGGGACGAAAGCGUGGGUAGCGAACAGGAUUAGAUACCCCAGUAGUCCCUGUCUCUUAUAC
Molecule: ribosomal RNA, 301 nt
Filed under: uncultured bacterium
Lineage: Bacteria
Description: partial 16S ribosomal RNA
Rfam family: Bacterial small subunit ribosomal RNA
Source: RNAcentral